ACCAGAAAACACCGCUCGGGCGGGGGCCGGGUCACGCCGGCGGGGCGGCGGCUCUGGGCCCCGGGGCGCGCCCGGCGCGGGGAGGGGUUCUGCGGCCUCCUCCCGGGCUGCGCCUCGCUGAGGGGACCCCCCGCCGCCUCCCCGCCCCCUCCUUCCUCCCGCUCGGGGCCGCCGCCGAUCGGUUCUCGCCGUCGCCGCGGGGCUUGUUGUUGACUUUGAGGAAAACUCCUGACGUCAGGGGCUGGCUCUCGGCGACUGCCGGGAGCGGGGGCAGUCGCUCCCGGGCGGGAAGUUCUGGGUUUCCCCCUCGCCCGCGUGGCCCUUGGCGGGCACCCGAGGCCCGGGAGCGGAGGCUCCUCGCCCAGCCGCUUCCUCGGCGCAUCCGCCCACCCGCCCUGGCCGCGGACGCGCGCGCCGCCAGGCCCCGGGCGUCUCCUCCAGUCCGCCGCGGCCCCUUGGGGAGAUGGGCCCGGCGCGAGGGCUCGCACCUGGAAGCCCACGAAGUGGGCGGUGCCCAAUGAGGAGACCACGGCAGACCAAAAACACCUCUCUGAACAGCCUUCCGCACCGCUCGCUGCAAGCAUUCGUCCACACACGGUACACAGAUUGCGGGCGGAUCGUAAUUCACUCUUGAAAUCACACCCUUUUUAGGGAUAUUCGUUUUCAAUGACUUUGGGAAAGCCACGAGGUACUACAUUUACUACGAAGAGACCGUUUCUUUAUUUUGAAGUCAGUGACUCCUGAGACUGCAUUGGGGACAACUUUUUUGCACAAUGACCAUAUUUUACCAUGCAGCGCACUUCAGAAAAUUAUAAAAGUUUACAAGUUUUAUCGCUUCUGGAAACACCUGGGCAGCAUCCCUAUUAUCCCGCCACGUGGCUCUAGCCUUGUUGAUGUACCUGUUACUUUCUCCCACUGCAACAUUUUUGUUAAUGUCUGUGGCUUCUUUCUGCAGAAGAGUUCCUCCUCCUGACAUGCACUUCAUUCUCUGCUUUUCUAUGUCUUGACAACUCUCUUAUGGUAGUCAUUUUCUUAUACUGUAGCCCCCUGGUAUUUAUGUACUGUGUGGUAUUAAUAUUUAUACUUCCAGGUUCACAUCUUUUAUGAACUGUGCAUCUGUUGGGAUUGUGGACAGGAGUAGGAAACCAAAUAAAAGGGUUUUUUAAAAAAGUCAGUUUUCUCCGUUUGUAAGGGAAACUUGUCUCCCUGACCACCCUGGAGCAAAAUUUGCCAUUUUAAGAUAACACAGUCCGUCUGAGAGAAAGUCCUGCACCAUGCCUUUCCCCUUUUCCCAUAUUUCCCAGCAUGCUAUGAGCUGAUGAAUAAACAGACUUUGUCCUAUUUUCGUUGUAUCUAUAAAAUAUACAUAAUGUAUUCCCAUAAUUAUCAGACCUCUCACAGUCACUAUUGGUAAAAUUAUUGGGUUACAGGUUUCUUGCUGUAAAACACAAAAAUAGGUCAUAUUUUUAUUCCAUAGUACCCCAACUUGCUUUUUAUUUUUAAGAAAAUAGUCCCUUAUGACACCAGCACUAAAAAGAGUGUCUGAAACUUUAAAUACUUAACUUUUGAGAGUCAGAGUAUCCGGAAUUACUGAAUUACUAGAUAUCUCUUAUCAGUGAGAUGUUCAUUUGUUCCCAAAUUUAACAUCAAUAUAUUUACAAGAACUGAAUGUGUCUUAUGAGCCAUACUACCUCAAAAUAUUUCUCCCAGUCUGGUCAGAUUGCAUUAAAUCUUAGGUGGAUUAAACCCUAAAAUUCAGUAUGUGAGAAUGGAUUAUAUACUCUCGGCUUCAUGUAUUUGAAGAAUUAUAAGUUUUUAUUUCUGUUCAAUUUUUGCUUGUGGACUAUAGUAGUUUCAUAAGUUUCCAUAAUAAAAGCAUGUUUGAUUUUGUUAUUGAAUUACUAUUGAUUAGGGAUAUUAUUUAUUUAAAUAACGUUGUUCUUUCUCUUAGACUAUGCCGGUAUGAAUUUGGUAGAAUCUGCCGAUUGUGGUAUGUCGGUACUCCAUACAGAGUGUGUGGCAGAUUUCUUCUCUAUUUUGUUAUCACAUCCAGUAAUAUGGAGUGCAGCCAGCAUGUUCAUCCCUGGGAAUGUCCCUCCUAAAUUUUGCAAAGAAAGCCUUCAUUCUUUAUUAC
Molecule: long non-coding RNA, 2134 nt
Filed under: Homo sapiens (human)
Lineage: Eukaryota; Metazoa; Chordata; Mammalia; Primates; Hominidae
Description: non-protein coding lnc-ZBTB18-9:2
Source: RNAcentral